GCAACGAGCAGCCAUAUCGUCGCACUGCUAAACGUAGUUGCAGCGUUGGCUUCCACGAUGGGCUCCGGACCCCUGCAACCCUGCAUAAGACAAGCAGGUUUAAUCCUGGUUCUGCUAGCAGGAGGCUGCACUGCGCAUCAGGCUGUUCCAGGCUCAAAGUUUCUAAGAACAAAGUGAAGCAGGAGACACUGGCAAUAACCAAAAACCAGCCAGAAACUCUUUGUGACUCAUCGUCAACAGCAACGUGGGAAUUCCAAGUCUCGCAGCUCCUCACAUCAUUUGGAGGUGAGGAUGACCCCCUCAAGCGGAUCAUGGGAAGCUGACUUCCUCUAGUCUGAAAUUGUGUCUGCCGGCGUAAACAAACUGAUGAUCACCGGUGAUAAAACCUCCGCUUCCUACAUCAUUGAAUAGAGUCACCUGCUUUGACCAUAGAGUGUGGCUGCUUGACCCAGAGGGGCAUCAGGAGGCUUGCAUGCAUGGACAACAGUGACAGUACCAGUCAACCUGGCAGUAUAGACUGCAUAUGAACCUUGUGGUAUGGGUGUUCCAUUGUCAAGUAUGGAGCUCCUCAAUGAGAACGGGGCCAGUCGUGGACUUGUUGGAGUCUCCGUUUCUCAUCAAUACCCCUGAA
This is a long non-coding RNA of Brienomyrus brachyistius, 631 nucleotides long. RefSeq lists it as uncharacterized. The record is from RefSeq and is a predicted model, not a curated record. The transcript has 4 exons. NCBI's taxonomy places the organism in Eukaryota, Metazoa, Chordata, Actinopteri, Osteoglossiformes, Mormyridae.